This 1052-nucleotide long non-coding RNA is filed under the name Anas platyrhynchos (mallard). Its description in RNAcentral is "lncRNA (ENSAPLG00020011660.1)". The record is from RNAcentral. Lineage: Eukaryota; Metazoa; Chordata; Aves; Anseriformes; Anatidae.
CCAGGUCAGCGGUGAUUUCACAUCCUUGAGUUCCUUGCUUAAUUUGCUGAGAAAAUCUUGGAUUCAAAAGCCAGUUUUUGGAGAUCCCCUCUUCCCAUGGCACAGCUGGUGCCUGGUGGCUGCUCCCUGGGGCUGGGGCUCUCAGGAGUGGGGCAGCAGCUCUCAGGAAAGGGUUAAGCACGGCCAGGGCUUUGGGCUCCUUUGCUGGGGGAGACGGUUGCUCGCUUGUUUGUUUGGAAGUGCUGGCAGGAAAGCGGGGAGGAGAAAAUUACCUAAGUGAUAGUGAGGUUGCCAUGAACUAUAUAAAACUGUGAAAUCAAAUCAGAAGAAAACUCCACCUCGCAGUCUUGAACCAGAAGCACAACCCCUGAAGAGAAACCCACCCCAGCACCGAGUGAUCUCAAGGACUUGAACUCAAACCAAGCUAUAUGAGCUCAGCAGAGCUGCUGCAGAGCUGAAAAUCCAAGUGCUGUCAAAGCAACCUCCAGUUGUACUGGGAACUGCGAGCAGGAAUGCUGUUCUGGGGAAGUUUUAAAAUAAUGAAGUGGAGGCAGCUUUUCUGGAUUGCAUUCUGUGUUGUGAAGUUGUCUGGCACCGCUGCUGAUGGCCUGACGGACACCCCGGCUCCAGCAUCCACAUCCACAGAGACAGACCUGAGCGGAACCGGCAGCUUGGCAGCCACCGGCGCCCUGAGCAGCACCGUGCCAGCGUUGGAGAGCCUUGCUGCAGACACGGCCAGACCCACAGCAGCCACCCCCAGCUCCCCAGGGCUCAGCACUGUUCAGACGAGCCCGCAGCAGAGCUCACAGCCCAGCAAAGCCCCCACACAGGCGCGAGGUGCCACCCUGGAGGAUGCAAGCACAGGGGUGCCCAUGACACGGACCCCAGAGGUUAAUGCCAGCAAAACAGAAGCCACCCAAGAAGGCACACUGGCCCCGCUGAGCUCUACAGCCACCUCUGAGCUGAUGCCUGUCUUAGGAGGCCAGCACAGAGCCACACGUGGCAAGCAGGUGUCCCCAAGCCCAUCACAUGCCACAAUGUCAAAGAUGUGA